UAGGGAAUCUUCGGCAAUGGACGAAAGUCUGACCGAGCAACGCCGGGUGAGUGAAGAAGGUUUUCGGAUCGUAAAGCUCUGUUGUAAGAGAAGAACGGGUGUGAGAGUGGAAAGUUCACACUGUGACGGUAUCUUACCAGAAAGGGACGGCUAACUACGUGCCAGCAGCCGCGGUAAUACGUAGGUCCCGAGCGUUGUCCGGAUUUAUUGGGCGUAAAGCGAGCGCAGGCGGUUAGAUAAGUCUGAAGUUAAAGGCUGUGGCUUAACCAUAGUACGCUUUGGAAACUGUUUAACUUGAGUGCAGAAGGGGAGAGUGGAAUUCCAUGUGUAGCGGUGAAAUGCGUAGAUAUAUGGAGGAACACCGGUGGCGAAAGCGGCUCUCUGGUCUGUAACUGACGCUGAGGCUCGAAAGCGUGGGGAGCGAACAGGAUUAGAUACCCUGGUAGUCCACGCCGUAAACGAUGAGUGCUAGGUGUUAGGCCCUUUCCGGGGCUUAGUGCCGCAGCUAACGCAUUAAGCACUCCGCCUGGGGAGUACGACCGCAAGGUUG
RNAcentral lists this ribosomal RNA (550 nucleotides) under uncultured bacterium. Its description in RNAcentral is "bacterial SSU rRNA". It matches the Rfam family "Bacterial small subunit ribosomal RNA", at positions 355 to 896 of the family's 1533-position model. The record is from RNAcentral.